UACGUAGGGGGCUAGCGUUGUCCGGAAUCAUUGGGCGUAAAGCGCGCGUAGGCGGCCCGGUAAGUCCGCUGUAAAAGUCAAAGGCUCAACCUUUGAAUGUCAGUGGAUACUGCCGGGCUAGAGUCCGGAAGAGGCGAGUGGAACUCCUGGUGUAGCGGUGGAAUGCGCAGAUAUCAGGAAGAACACCGACGGCGAAGGCAGCUCGCUGGGACGGUACUGACGCUGAGGCGCGAAAGCUAGGGGAGCGAACAGG
RNAcentral lists this ribosomal RNA (253 nucleotides) under uncultured bacterium. RNAcentral's name for it is "partial 16S ribosomal RNA". It matches the Rfam family "Bacterial small subunit ribosomal RNA", at positions 524 to 776 of the family's 1533-position model. The record is from RNAcentral.